Long non-coding RNA from Triticum dicoccoides, 333 nucleotides. RefSeq lists it as uncharacterized. Lineage: Eukaryota; Viridiplantae; Streptophyta; Magnoliopsida; Poales; Poaceae. The record is from RefSeq and is a predicted model, not a curated record. The transcript is spliced from 4 exons.
GUUGGAGAGUACCCCUCAGAUAUAUAGGUUAAUUUGACUCGAUUUUGCAGGUGCUUUGAUCUGAAGGAUUGGUUUGUGAUACGUCAUUGAUUCAUCGUUGACACAAAUAUGAAAGCACACUAGAAAGAUAAACAUAGGAGAUCAUAGCUGAAGCGUGGGUUUCCAACGACGGUGGUGUGCUGCCUUUCUUCCAGUGCCGACAAGAUGGCUAGUUUGUCGCCCCGUAACCCUGGUGGUGGGCUCCCAUGACUGCCUCCUGGGUUACCUACCACUUAGUGUUGUACUUGCACAUGUAAUGCUGCGCAAGAAGGUACACAUACUCGGGCCAGGCCA